UACGUAGGGGGCGAGCGUUGUCCGCAGUUACUGGGCGUAAAGAGUACGUAGGUGGCUUGUUAAGAUACAUCUGAAAGGUGACAGCUCAACUGUCAAUGGUGGUGUAAGACUGGCAGGCUUGAGGCAAGCAGAAGAGUGUGGAACUCCGAGUGUAGCGGUGGAAUGCGUAGAGAUUCGGAAGAACACCCAUGGCGAAGGCAGCACUCUGGGCUUGAGCCGCAAGGUUAACCUGACACUGAGGUACGAAAGCCAGGGGAGCGAACGGG
This 266-nucleotide ribosomal RNA is filed under the name uncultured bacterium. Its description in RNAcentral is "partial 16S ribosomal RNA". It matches the Rfam family "Bacterial small subunit ribosomal RNA", at positions 524 to 776 of the family's 1533-position model. The record is from RNAcentral.